This 337-nucleotide unclassified non-coding RNA is filed under the name soil metagenome. Its description in RNAcentral is "partial contains 5.8S ribosomal RNA, internal transcribed spacer 2, and large subunit ribosomal RNA". The stretch from base 1 to 120 matches the Rfam family "5.8S ribosomal RNA", at positions 35 to 154 of the family's 154-position model. The record is from RNAcentral.
GAUGAAGAACGCAGCGAAAUGCGAUAAGUAGUGUGAAUUGCAGAAUUCAGUGAAUCAUCGAAUCUUUGAACGCACAUUGCGCCCCUUGGUAUUCCAUGGGGCAUGCCUGUUCGAGCGUCAUUUGUACCUUCAAGCCUUGCUUGGCGUUGGGUGUUUGUCUCGCCUCUGCGCGCAGACUCGCCUCAAAACAAUUGGCAGCCGGCGUAUUGAUUUCGGAGCGCAGUACAUCUCGCGCUUUGCACUCAGAACGACGACGUCCAAAAGUACAUUUUUACACUCUUGACCUCGGAUCAGGUAGGGAUACCCGCUGAACUUAAGCAUAUCAAUAAGCGGAGGA